RNAcentral lists this ribosomal RNA (429 nucleotides) under Bacteroidota bacterium. RNAcentral describes it as "Bacteroidetes bacterium partial 16S ribosomal RNA". It matches the Rfam family "Bacterial small subunit ribosomal RNA", at positions 355 to 776 of the family's 1533-position model. Lineage: Bacteria; Pseudomonadati; Bacteroidota. The record is from RNAcentral.
UAGGGAAUCUUCCGCAAUGGACGCAAGUCUGACGGAGCAACGCCGCGUGAGUGAAGAAGGAUUUCGGUUCGUAAAACUCUGUUGUUAGAGAAGAACAGCGCAUAGAGUAACUGUUAUGCGUGUGACGGUAUCUAACCAGAAAGCCACGGCUAACUACGUGCCAGCAGCCGCGGUAAUACGUAGGUGGCAAGCGUUGUCCGGAUUUAUUGGGCGUAAAGCGAGCGCAGGCGGUCAAUUAAGUCUGAUGUGAAAGCCCCCGGCUCAACCGGGGAGGGUCAUUGGAAACUGGUUGACUUGAGUGCAGAAGAGGAGAGUUGAAUUCCAUGUGUAGCGGUGAAAUGCGUAGAUAUAUGGAGGAACACCAGUGGCGAAGGCGACUCUCUGGUCUGUAACUGACGCUGAGGCUCGAAAGCGUGGGUAGCAAACAGG